RNAcentral lists this long non-coding RNA (987 nucleotides) under Parus major (Great Tit). Its description in RNAcentral is "lncRNA (ENSPMJG00000009280.1)". Lineage: Eukaryota; Metazoa; Chordata; Aves; Passeriformes; Paridae. The record is from RNAcentral.
AUUAAAAUUAUAAAUUAAAUAUUAAAAUAAAUAUUAAAUGUUAAAAUAAUUAUGAACAUAUUAAAAAUAAAUAUUAAAAAUAAAUAUUAAAAAUAACUAUUAAAAAUAUUAAAAAUAUUAACAAUAAAUGACAGUUUGAUGGAGCAGCAUUUAAAGUAAGAGCUCCAGACAAUCUGGAUAUUUUAAGUAAAGUGAAAAAAAAUCUCUAGGAGCUUCCAAAAGCUCUGAAUUAUUUCCAGGCUCCCAGUAAAAUGCUCUGAUGGAUUUAAUUAAGGCUCUCAAUGGAAUUUUACAGAGAAAAGCAGUGUUACUAACCCAGAAAACACAGAGAUUAUUUUUUUAAUUCAAAGUGGGAAGCUGUCCCGGGCACUGAGCACAAUUUGAUUUUAAAGAUUGGUUUUCGUUUGUCUCCAACAGGUGAAAUCCACUGAAGUCCGAGUGGUUUUCCACACUCACCUCCCGAAUUCCAGGAGCAGAGGAAGGAGCAGGGAAUAAUGAAAUCACAGCUCUUUAAUGAGCCUCAGCUUUCAACAGCUCCGGGAUCCUCCAGAGCAAGGGCUCAGUUCCAGCAAAAUGACAAAAAUCUCUGUUCCUGGUCUGGAGGGAGAGCACAGCAAGGUCUGUAACAAAUUAUUCCUGUUGUGAUUGUAUCGAGCACUCCUGAAAUUUGUGUCCUACAAAGAGAAUUAACAACGUGGCUGUGGGAGCUGUUAGUCCUCAGCUCUGUCUUUGUAAGGCUCAGGUGAAUAUUUAAAGAUUAUUUAAUAUUAAUAUUUAUCUUUUGGUGGGGUUAAACCCUGCGCCAAUGCUCACCAGCAGGCACCGGGUAGCACCGAAAGGGAUUUUUGUUGGCUUUUGUUAACAAUCAGGGACUGGUUAUCACUGAAAGGGUUUGUUUUUUGCUGGCCUUGAAAUCCUCACCUUGUGAGAAUUGAAAGCAGGGAACAGGUAAAUAAAGGAAAAUGGGAUUGUGGUGUUAAUGGAUAA